Molecule: long non-coding RNA, 2035 nt
Filed under: Mus musculus (house mouse)
Lineage: Eukaryota; Metazoa; Chordata; Mammalia; Rodentia; Muridae
Description: predicted gene 10856 (Gm10856)
Source: RNAcentral
AUCCGGCUGAGAGAGAAAGGAUUCUGGGAGAUAGUCAGGCAUGGGAGAUUCACCCCAGACACAGAAUAAGACAGCGCAUGCAACUGAGGACCAGCUCUGGAAGCACAAAGUAGAAAGACACUGAGCGGGCGAGGGAGCCUAAAGUGAACCCAGCUGUGUGGCCCUGGAGCUGGCAACUUCUCUGAGCCUCUGUUUUCUUCCACUGUAAAAUGGAGAGUCUCUUCGGUCUUGUGAGGACACAGCAUUGGCUUCUAGGCAACUGGAACUCAGUCUGGCAUGUGGUAGGUCUGUGGUGCUAGAAGCAUGUGUAUCUAAGUGCUGGGCCCACUCAAGGAUCAAGACACCACACACACACAUGCACACACACACACACACACACACGCAUACACACACACAGAGGCACACACGCUCACUCACACACACACAGGCACACACAGAUAUAUUCACCAAGGCACGAAUACAGGCUCUCACACACACUGUACUGACAUAGCCUCAGUCUGCUAUGUUCCCCACAUGUUCCCCACGUGUUCCCCACAUGUUCCCCACAUGUUCUCCACAUGUUCAUGCUUUGUCCUCUAGCUAGUGGUGCUGUUUUGGAGGCCAAGGAAACUUUAGAAUGUAGACCCUCACUUUUGGAAGUAGUCGCUUGGGGCAGAUCUUUGAAUAUUACAGCCUGGGGGCUGGAGAGAUGACUCAGUGGUUAAAGGCACUGGCUGCUCAUCCAGAGCAACUCAGUUCUGAGCACCCCUCCAACUCAGUUCUCAGCACCGCACAUGGCAGCUCACAACUCUCUAUAGCCCAAGUUUCAAGGGAUCCAGUGUGUUCUUCUGGUCUCUGUGGGCACCAAACAUACAUGCAGUACACAGAUGCACACACACAAACAAACAAGCAAGCAAGCAAGUACAUACAUACAUACAUACAUACAUACAAACAUACAUACAUACACGGAAGCAAUGGCCUUCAUCAUACACUCCCACAACCACGAUUGAACCCACAUACAGCUUUGCCUUCCUCAUCAUGAUGGAGGAAAACCGUCUGAAGCCAUGAGCUGAAACAAGUUGUUUCUUCCUGUCAAGUAUUGUGGCUGCAAAAACAACUGAUACGUGCACACACGCUUACGGGUUGUUCUCACCCUGAAAGUCAAUGCGUUGGAUCCACUCUGAAGACCUUUGGAACAUACCACAGCCAACCCACAGGAUGCUUCAAGGAUUUUUCUAAGUGCUUCUGAUGUGUGCACAAGAUCUACUAUCUACUAAUUCAACUCCCCAAAAUAACCCCGGGAAUAAGCAGUGAUACUUAGGAGGGCGCUGGCCUCUGCUCUAACCUGGAGAUGAGCAAUACUUACCUUCUCCAUUCCCUUGUCCCCUCCCACCUGACAUGCCCCACCCUGGGAUAUAGCUCCACCAAUGAGACUGACAGGGACCCAAGUGACCAAUGUGAGUCACAGAGAAUCUAAAACAGUCAAGUUGCCUCAAGAUCAUGCCACGAUAGUAUGUGCUGCUAAAGAAGGGCUGUCUAUGUUUAGAAAGCCGGUACUGGAAUUGUUUGGCAAUUGGCCUGAAUAUGGGCAUAACUGGGCGACAGACGUGGGAAACACCAAUUUAGACCGAGGGACCUUUUGGAAAUGGAGUUCUGAGUCCUUCCUCAGUUUAAAAGCCUUCAUGGUGAAGAAGCCAAAAUAUGAGCUGUGGGGACCCUUCCCAGUGACUCAUGAAUGUCUCCAGGACAAGCCAAAGCUGUCCCUAACCUCAUACCCAUUCCCAGGAUAUCACUAAGCAGGGCCUGCUGCUAAGUCCGCAAAAGCUGCUAUUGCCAGGUCGAUGCAGCUGCCUCCCUUCUUCCUUUGGAUAAGUUCCUGAAGGCCUCCCUGACCAACAGUGUGCAGCAUCUCCCAGCCACCCUCUGCAGGGAGCCGUGUGUGGUCCUCUCAGCCUUUCCCUGCCCCCUUUGGUUACUUACCCAGUACCAGGAAUUCUGUCUGGUCACUUGUCACCUCUAAUAAAUCAUGAGCUCCCUGGGGACAGGAAUCCCAGAA